UAACGCGUGGGCAACCUGCCUUACACNGGGGGAUAACAGUUAGAAAUGACUGCUAAUACCGCAUAAGACCACAUUGCCGCAUGGCAGGGUGGUAAAAACUCCGGUGGUGUAAGAUGGGCCCGCGUCUGAUUAGGUAGUUGGCAGGGUAGAGGCCUACCAAGCCUACGAUCAGUAGCCGGCCUGAGAGGGUGGACGGCCACAUUGGGACUGAGACACGGCCCAAACUCCUACGGGAGGCAGCAGUGGGGAAUAUUGCACAAUGGGGGAAACCCUGAUGCAGCGACGCCGCGUGAGCGAUGAAGUAUUUCGGUAUGUAAAGCUCUAUCAGCAGGGAAGAAAAUGACGGUACCUGACUAAGAAGCCCCGGCUAACUACGUGCCAGCAGCCGCGGUAAUACGUAGGGGGCAAGCGUUAUCCGGAAUUACUGGGUGUAAAGGGAGCGUAGACGGUUAAGUAAGUCUGGAGUGAAAGGCCGGGGCCCAACCCCGGGACUGCUCUGGAAACUAUUCAACUUGAGUGCAGGAGAGGUAAGCGGAAUUCCUAGUGUAGCGGUGAAAUGCGUAGAUAUUAGGAGGAACACCAGUGGCGAAGGCGGCUUACUGGACUGUAACUGACGUUGAGGCUCGAAAGCGUGGGGAGCAAACAGGAUUAGAUACCCUGGUAGU
Molecule: ribosomal RNA, 665 nt
Filed under: uncultured bacterium
Lineage: Bacteria
Description: bacterial SSU rRNA
Rfam family: Bacterial small subunit ribosomal RNA
Source: RNAcentral